Molecule: non-coding RNA, 3035 nt
Organism: Gasterosteus aculeatus aculeatus (three-spined stickleback)
Lineage: Eukaryota; Metazoa; Chordata; Actinopteri; Perciformes; Gasterosteidae
Source: RefSeq, a predicted model, not a curated record
AUUUUAUUAACAUAAAAAAUGACUAGAAAUUAAAUAAAUCAUUUGUCACACAAGCGGAGCGGGAGCGGUUUGUACCGCGCAGUGAGUCUCAGAGGGAUCAUCACAAUCACAAUGUGACGGUCAGACGAUCCUCAACUUUAUUAAAACCGUCUGCAGCUCCGCACCUGUUUCACGCGAAAUAAAACUUCUUGUGGCAGCAGCAACAAUUUACAGAAUGUAAAAGGGAAAAUAAUAAAAAAGGAUGCUCUCUUUUCCCCAGGAUGCCUGCAGAGACAUUCAGAGGCCCGAUAACACGUGCAACCAGCUCAGGUCACACGCACGCGUCCGUUCGGUCACGUUGGAUAUGUUGGGCAGUUUGAGUGGCGGCGGAUUUGUUGACGUCACGCCCGCUCUGGCCAAUAGCUGCGGCCUGCUGACGACUUGGGGAGAGAGAACCUUGUGUCGCAGCUCAGGUGCGACCUCGGGCGGCGGCGCCGGGCCGGAGAGGAUGGGUAGCCUUAGGGGCAUCAAGACCCCAAAACGCGCCUCCGACCGAACAACAACGAGCUCACAAAGGCACAAGCUGCAAAAAAAAAAUAAAAAGCCCGGAUGACAUUUACCAGGAGUCUGGCGCCGAUGCUGCAGAAGGUACGUUGUUUGUAACGCGUGAGCGCGUCUACGGCCACACGGCCUUCACACCCACCCGACCUCCCUGUGCGCCUGUUUCUGCGGUUUCGACCCAUCAACGUUCGGAUAUGUGAGACCACGGCCGGUGGGCAGGUAGAACUAAGUGACCCAUUGCAGAACAUAUGGCCCACAGCUCCCUGCAGCCACCGGCAGUGAUCCACGGCGGUACGGUUGGUGCAGCAGGAUCACUUUUAAUCUAAUAAGCCCCAUGAUCCUUGCGUGUGGGGGGCUGCAUGCAGGGGCUCAGCCGUAGCGUCACAUGGCUGGCUGAGUGACGGGGCAUCGCUGAAAAGGCGCCGCACUGAUUCCCUCGGGCCAGCGGACUUUGACAAGUCGCUCAACAAGUCGCUGUUAGCGAAUCAGUUUUGAUUCCCCAGUUUGGUCAACGUUUUAUUCUCUGGGCUCUGCUGGUUGCAUCUCUGGCAUCAAGAGAACACGCAAUGCCAGAAGAAUCGCGGGCCUUUUAUAUGACAGGAGCCACAUGCGGGGUUAUGAAUUAUACAUAUGUCCCAACCGACUUAAGAACGCUGCCUCCCAGUUAAUCCGGCCUCCUGACUCCCCGCCGCCACCUAAGCGAAAAGACAAGACCUUGUUUGAGGCCAGUUUUGUUAAGUUUGCCGUUGUUGAUUUUUUUCCCUCCCCCUCCCCUCCCCACCUCUUCUUUUCUCCCUUUUGCAUGAAAGGAUGUUUGAUUUAGGUCCCGGCCGUUGUUUGAUUUGACGUGACAGUUGGCUUGGUUCUGAAUGGGCCGUGGAACAGCUUCAUUCCGCGAGGUGCCACCAUGUGGAAAAGGCCUCGCUGAAUGCUGCUUGUGUGUGUGCUUGUUAGGCUCCAGAGGAGGGGGGGCGGUCAGGGGCAAUCAGGCAGAAAGUGCCUCCGGUGACGAGACCCAUGAGCGAGAAGAGAACAAUCUCAGCCUUAGGGUUCCUUGCUGGAGCUCAUGGUGAGGAGUAAUUGGUCAAUCAGAUCUCCGACCUCAAGGCCCGUGAUGGCUGAUUGAAGGUGUGAUUUCCUUUUGGCCCGUCAAAGCCAGAGGGUCGCUCCCGCUGAGAGAGACCGUUCACGAUUGUCCCCAAGGUCUCAGAGGCCUCAGAGCUACGCGGCUAGCGGUGAACCACUUGUAACACGUAUUCGUCAUGGCGGUUUGCUGUCUCAACACGGCUCAGCUAAAGCAUCGCCCUGGAGUUUGGAUACAUUAAAGCUUGACAUGGUGCAAAUUCUAAACAGCUACUCCGAAGCAAAGUGAAAUUCCCUAAAAGCCUGUGUGGCAACCUCACUUCGCAAUGCCGACCCCGUAGCAGCGCUGCAGUUGUGCCGUUCUACUGCAUUGCAGCGUGGCAUUUGAGUGACAUUUGCGCUUCGGGCUCUUCUCGGUGAGCGAGAGGAACGAGGGCCGAGAAGGGGAGUGACGGAUCACCUUUUGAGGAGCGCCUGGUUCCCCGUGACUUGUUCGUACUACGGUGAGCACUCCGUAGUGCUUUGACCCGUUACUCUGGACGAUAGAUCGACGAUUGGCCCCCACAGAUAUCCGAGCUCUUGGUGCGGGAUAGUUCCCUCCUUAGGGGGUCUUGGACGGACUUUGAUACCGUUAUAUCAGUAGCACGUCACACGGGGGCCCCGGAGCCAAGCUUCCUGCCUUCCCGGAAAAUGGCACGGAGAUGGGAGACUUCCUAAGAAGCACCGUAGGGCCUUUUGCUCUCUCUGUUUUUCGGCGUCCCAUGGCGGAGCUGGAAAUAGGAGAGUGUGAAUGCAGGGGAGGGGGGGGGGGGGUGUUUAUCUUUGCCGCAGAUUUAAACUCCAAGUGUCAAACAGAAGAACAUCCAUUGUGGUCUGGUCCUACUCGCCUCCCCACCAGUCAAUAGAGGUUGUCCACUUGUCACCGAGGGACAAUGCGCCCCUUUGCCUCCCUUCCAUCUCCGUCGGGUCCGAGCAGCCAGACACUUUCCUGAAUGAGACCCAGUGAUUCUUGCGCACUUUUUUGUUUUUCUCAGCCUUUUUAUCGACGGGAAACACCAAUGGGGGUUUGGAAAAAGGUCUUGUUGUUGCGCCGGAGCAAAAGGCCACAUCCUGCUAUUCCCUCCACCACCCCCCCAAGUUGCAAAAGUCAAUGGGUCUCCCCAGACAAAGGAGAUUAAGUUUGGCAACGUGGCAGUAACAGGUGUACUCUGACUCUGCCCGGACCACCCGGGCGGUGGACUGCCGUGGUCUGAUCCGUCGCUCGGUUCCCCCCCCGUCCCGUCCCGUCGGUGCUUUGUGUUGACGGCAGGAACGCUACAGACGUCGUCCAUUUGUACGUUUAGUCGAGUCAGGAGUGCGUCUGCCACCGGCCUCUUCAUCAUCCAUCACUACGUCUCUCUGCUGCAACACUU